This 85-nucleotide ribosomal RNA is filed under the name uncultured bacterium. RNAcentral's name for it is "partial 16S ribosomal RNA". The record is from RNAcentral.
CCCUUUAAGCUGGGAAGAAGUUGAUGACGUGAAUAGCGUCAUUGAUUGACGGUACCGGCAGAAUAAGCACCGGCAAACUCUGUGC